Molecule: ribosomal RNA, 220 nt
Filed under: Galictis cuja (Lesser grison)
Lineage: Eukaryota; Metazoa; Chordata; Mammalia; Carnivora; Mustelidae
Description: partial small subunit ribosomal RNA
Source: RNAcentral
UCCCAAACUGGGAUUAGAUACCCCACUAUGCUCAGCCCUAAACAUAAAUAAUUCACACAACGAAAUUAUCUGCCAGAGAACUACUAGCAACAGCCUAAAACUCAAAGGACUUGGCGGUGCUUUACAUCCCUCUAGAGGAGCCUGUUCUAUAAUCGAUAAACCCCGAUAAACCUCACCACUUCUAGCUAAAUCAGUCUAUAUACCGCCAUCUUCAGCAAAC